RNAcentral lists this small RNA (620 nucleotides) under Pongo abelii (Sumatran orangutan). RNAcentral describes it as "retained intron". The record is from RNAcentral. Lineage: Eukaryota; Metazoa; Chordata; Mammalia; Primates; Hominidae.
AUGUGUGGUCCUCCACCCUGCCCGCAGGGUCCUCCAUGGGGACCUAUCACAACAACAUGACAACCCAGAGCUCGUCCCUCCUCAACACCAAUGCCUACUCUGCGGGAUCAGUCUUCGGAGUUCCAAAUAACAUGGCGUCCUGCUCACCCACUUUGCACCCUGGACUCAGCACUUCCUCCUCAGCCCAGAAGCAGAGGCACAGGGUUGCACAGAGCCUGCCCUCAACCACAGGGAGAACUCAGACCUCAAGGGAAAAGCCUCAGGCGAGUGAACAUGAGCCCACAUUGAUUAUUUGGCAUGCAGAACAAUCUGGCCCCCAGCUCGACUACCCUGUCCCAUGGCACCACCACUACUUCCACAGCAUAUGGGGUGAAGAAAAACAUGCCCCAGAGUCCUGCGGCUGUGAACACUGGCGUUUCCACCUCUGCCGCCUGCACCACAAGUGUGCAGAGCGAUGACCUUUUGCACAAGGACUGCAAGUUCCUGAUCCUAGAGAAAGACAACACACCUGCCAAGAAGGAGAUGGAGCUGCUCAUCAUGACCAAGGACAGCGGGAAGGUCUUUACGGCCUCCCCCGCCAGCAUCGCUGCAACUUCUUUUUCAGAAGACACCCUAAAAAA